This 5555-nucleotide long non-coding RNA is filed under the name Nicotiana benthamiana. RNAcentral's name for it is "long non-coding RNA (NBEN_LNC013610)". Lineage: Eukaryota; Viridiplantae; Streptophyta; Magnoliopsida; Solanales; Solanaceae. The record is from RNAcentral.
UCUCCCCCAAUUCACUCUCCUCUAGAGACCAAAUCUCAUCAAACAAUAAAUCACCGCUCCUAAAUCACACCGCCUUAGGGUGGUGACGCCACCACCAAAUAGCCCAAACUAACACCUUGAAGCCCCCACGACCUCCUCUCUCGAAAUUCCUAACCCAUACCCAUCGAAACAUUACCGACUCCAUCAAAUCUGGAAUCUAGGGAUAGGAUCUGAAGCCCCCAAGAGGUCACACUAUCGAUCUUUGAUCCCAUGGCUUGCAUGGGUGCCUACACAUGAUCUUCUGAAUAUUAAAGUUUGUUUAAACAUGAAAGUGAUGUUGUUCAGUUAUUUUUACAAAGAACAAUCGGGUAACAUCGGUCUUCGUUUAAGUCAGCAUUUCAAUUAGGUUUCGAGCCGUAAUUUGGUAAGUUCUUCCUCCCCUCUUGUGAUUUUCUUUCACUGUUUUAUCUUCAUCUUCAUUCUUUUUCUUUUGGUUUGGUCGAAAUUUGUUUGGGUUUGAUAAGUUCAAACUGGUUCCUCUUCUUUUAUUUUAGUUGUAAAAGCUGGAUUAUCUGAGUUCUUUAAUCCACCUUGUUUUGUUUGUCAAAGUCUUUGUGUUAAUAUCAUAAUUAUUGUUUCGUCAUCAGUUUAAUCACCAAGAUAAUUAAAUUAGUUCCAUAAUUUAGUUAAAUUAAUGUUGUGAAAUUAGAUUGCUUAGUUCAUUCAUGUUGCAAUUGUUUCGGUUGGUUUUAAUGAAAUAAUUCCAGGCUUCUUUAUUUGGGAAAAUUUUGGGUUAGCUCUAAUCUGUGGUCCCUAGGUGUUUUAAUUUGUCUUCAUAUCAAAAGGCCUAAAUAUAUAUUUAAUUUGGUUUCUGCAGACCCAUUAGUUUGGUCGGUUGACCCGGGUUGGAUUUAACGACAAAUAACAGUAGGUAAAUGGGUAAUUUUGGAUAAUUGCUUAGGGGAAUCUUUCUAUAACUUAUUAGGAAGCUUCUGAGAAUCUGACUUUGGGAUUGUUUUGAAACUCUAAACACUAAAUAGGGAUACCAAGGAAAAUAUAAAAACAUGAAAUGGGCUAAAAUGAGAAUCUGAUUUCUCUAUUGUUGCCCGAUUGCCUUGCUUAUAAAGGCAUCUCAUUCUUUCCUAACAAGGAAGGGAUUCAGAGAUAAAAAUUGAGAAAAAAGCAAAACGGCUGAAAAUUAAAGUGAAAUUACUAAUUCAUUGAAAUUCUUUUUGUGAUUUCUUAAGUUUCCUAUUCCUUUUGUGGUUUUGAAGUUUUCUUGGGUUAUUGUUCGAGGAGGUUGCCUUCUAUUGUUUUCACAAUAAUUUUUAUUGAGUUGAUGUUUCUAAUGUUGGCUUGCUACUGUUCAGCCAUUGAGCCAUCAUUUUUUGUCCUGCUUUCGAAUUCCAGGUAUUCCUCUUAGCUCAAUGAACAAUGGCUAGGUGCUGACCAUGUAACUCAGUGAAUUUGGUGGAAUACAAGGUGUAUUUGACUCAAUUCUUCUCUAUUCCUCUGUUGUUUCAUAUUGUGUAGUGAGGCUAUAAUUAUAGGCAUUAGAUAAGUUGUUGUUUGCAUGAUAUGGAUCUAGGUUUGUCUUCAUAGUUAAAUGUUUGUUUCAAUAUUAAAUAGCAUAAUUAGAAGGUAUACAACGUGGGUUUGUAGAUGUUUUCUGUUAGACAAAUUAACCAUAGACUUUAACUUUCAGCUUUAUCUUUAUUUCGUGUUCUGGGUCGCUGAUUUGUUUAAUUUCUGCUAAAGAUCAGGGAAUUUUAGUCUUGAAGACUAUUUAUAUUUAUGGGAGUGAUAAGUAUGAGCUUGUAUGUAUUUUCUCGAAUUCUGUUUGUAGACAUGUUCAUUUGAAGUUAAAGUCCAGAUGCAUAUUGAAACUAGUUAAAAAUUAAUUUCAAGCAUAGUGAUUAGAUGUUACUUGAUCUAAAUAUUUUGAUUCAAGGUGUUCUUUUAUUUAUCUCAUGUUUAGAGUAAUAAAAAUUAGAAAUUUGGGUAGGUGAUAAGUGUCUUAUUGUUUUUUUAAAUCAUGAGAUUAUUUUGUUAAAUCAGUCUUAAUGUUCCCAGUUUGGUAUCAGUGAUUGGAAUUUGAGUUGGCACAAUAAUUUGGGAUAUAAUUUCUAUGUUAAAGCUAUUUGGGCUCACAAGGACUCGAUUCCGAGUUCUUGCAUUCGCAGUUGCACUAUGUUUGCCAAAUUGGACCUUCUUUUUGUGUUUGGAUUAAGUCAGUUUAAGAAUAGUGAUUCGCUAGAAUUUGAAAUUGGAAUAAGUCAUUGGGAUCAUUGGGCCCAGGCUUGACGUUGUCGAAAAUUAAUUAUUGAGCAAAAUAAUCCUUUAAUUCGGGGUAUCCUAGGUAGUUAAUGGGUUUGUAAUUUUCUUUAAAUGAAUAGAAGUUCCACGACUUUUGUUAGUUAAUUAAUUGGUUUCUCUGUCACAACCCAAACCAAUGGGCCACGAUGGGCACCCGGUACCUUACUUGAUCGAGGACCAACAUAGCAUAUCUUUCUUAGUACAUCAUCAUAUACACAUGACAUACGGGCCUAAUAGGCCAACAUAAUACUUAUAAACUCAAAACAUAGGCCAACAAGGCCUUACAAUCAUUCACGUAUGUGAUAUAUGUCUGCAAGCCUUUAAGAGUAUAUAAAUGUCAUAAAGGUAAUGACAAAGUAUCGACUUAUUAAAUAAUAGACUCUAAAUCAUACUAACCAAACGAGCAACUCCGAAGCAAAUGGAGCACACCAACAUCUUCCGCUGAGCUGAUAGCCUACUUGGAGGGCUCUCGAUCUGUCUAUCGGGACCUGGGAGAUUAAAUGCAACAGCCCCAGGCAAAAAGAAUGUCACUAUGAAUAAUGUAAAGAGUAUGUAAGGCACAUAAGUAAAUACAUAUGAGACAUGGAAGAACAAUAGAGUACAUGACUCAGCCUAUAAGUCUGAAUAACUUUGUAAAUCAUAAAUUACGUUUAACAUCAUGCAUAUGCGUAUCAAGACAUGUCGUGCAUAGGUACAUGUUUCAUAACAUCAUCAGCUUCUUCGGGCAUCCCAACAUAUCAUAUUGGUCACUGUGGGAAAAGUCAUCAUCGUAUACCAGCUGAUCAGAUAGUUGUGCGUAUAUAACGCCAUAACCUUUCCCAUAUCCCAUAUAUAUAUACAUAUAUAUGUGUGUGUGUGUGUGUGUGUAUGUGUGUGUGUAAUGCCAUUUGAAUCAUAUUUACAUAUAUAUGCAUAUAUAAUGUCGUUUGAAUCAUAUUGUAGCCACUGUGGGCAACAUAAUCAUCAUAUACUAGCUGAUAAGGUGGUGAUGUGUGUGAGUAUAUACAUAACAUUGUCUGAGUCAUGGGUGAAUGUACACGUAUUAAUGCAUGAAAUGCAAAUGAAAUAUGAUAACAAAAUUGGUAUUUCAUAAGAUCAUUAUACCUAUGAUUAAUAUCAUAAAAUAAUUUUACGUAUUUUCUGAGACCCACAAACAGAUGAUGGAACAAUAUGACAUAUGGAGAUUUAAGAACAUAGACACUUCUAAUACUUCUAUGAAUUAAAUCAUUUAUGGAAGUUGUGCAUUUGUAUGUUCCGUUCAUAUCAUAUGGAUCAUGCUAAAAGAAUAUAAGGGAUACACUUAAUAUACCUGGAGUAGGAACAACUCCAUAUAAUUUCGGUAUGAACGUACGAUGGAAUAAUAAGACAUAUGGAGAUUCAAAAUAUAGGCACUUGUAAUACUUCUAUGAAUAGAAUCAUUUAUGGAAUUUAUGCAUUUAUAUAUUUCGUUCGUGUCGUAUGGAUCAUGCCAAUAGAAUAUAAGGGAUAGCCUUAAUAUAUCUGGAGUAGGAACAACUCCAUAUAAUGCCAGUCCAAAGUUGAUUUCGCUAGUUAGAGUGACGAUUUGAUGCCGGAUAUUGAUAAAUUUAGUGUGGUUAGACUCAUGCGUGAAUGGGCUAUUGAGUUUUAUGACUUUUUUGGAUUUCGAGGCAUGGGCCCAGGAGCCAACGUUUGGUCAAUUUUGGAUUUGGCAUAGAAUUUUGUAUUGUUAUUAUGGAAUUGAUUCCUUUAUCCUGUAUUUAUUUGUAUUGUAUAUAUUUUGGACAUAUUCGAGAUAUUUAGAGACUGACUUGCGAGGCUAAGGCGUAUUACAGUAGUGUCUUGACUCGGAUUGGGGUACGUAACAGUGCUAAAUCUUGUUUUGAGGGUACGAGACCUCAGAUUUUGUGUUAUGUGAUGAUUGAAGGUGACACACAUACUAGAUGACGGGCGUGUGGGCGUGCACCGUAGGAAUUGUGACCUGGUCCAUGCCGUGAAACUAUAAAUUUAAGCAAUUUGUUGUUAGCUAUACGCUCUCCGUGUGUUAUAGAAAUUUGAAUGUAAAUCAUGUUAGAAAUCAUGUUUAGGCAAUGAGUUGGUACUUUAGUGAUCCACAGAGGCCGUGAUACUUGUUGAAUUACUUGCUAACUUCUACUUGUACUUAGUCGUAGUUACAUGCACAUUUUUACCUCAGUCUCUGUUAUUCCUUGUUGAUACAUUAUAUUAUUUUUGUUUUUGUCUGAUACUAUGAUUUUGAGGGCUUGUGAGACUAGAGAGGUUGAUGACUGAGUGAGGCUAAGGGCCUGACUAUGAGAUAUUGAUACCUUAACACGUGAGUUAUCCAUGCAGAUCUAGAUAUCUAUACUAUAGCACGUGAGUUGCCCAUGCAUAUUAUAGCGCUUGGGCUGAAGAAGCUCUUCCAUAAUAUAUACAUCUCUAUUGGGCGUAAGUACCUAUUGAGUGUGAGUGUUGAAGUCUGAGAAUCGAGUGAUGAGCUAUUGAGAAAGACUGAGUGAUUGUUUCCCGGAGAGGUUGUAUAUAUUUUAAUUGUUGUUGCAUAUAGAUGUUAUAUGUCACUGUUUUUAAUCUUAUGGUAGAUAUUAUAUCCGGUUUUUACUUGAACUUGGCAGGAAUAAGCUGAAUUUAUUUAAAUUGCUGGAUUAAAAGCAUGUCUACUUUCUCUUUGAAACUACUAAAAAUGAAUUAUAAAUAUGUAACUCGUCACUAUAUUUCAAUUCCUUAUUUAUUAUUGUUACUUAUCGAGAUAUUCGUACUCACGCUAUUCCAUGCACUUUAUGUGCAGAUCAUGAUAUGUUCGGGCACGAUGGGCGUUGAUGACAUGCAUGGAUGAUCUUCGGAGAUUUAUGAGGUAGCUGCCCGACGUUCAUAGUCUUUGUUUCUCCUUCCCUGUCUUUUUUUUUCGUUAUAUCUAGAUCUAGAAUUUUAUAGACACUUCAUUUCUUGACUGGUGUUGUAUAAAUGCUCAUGGGCUCAGAGAUACCCCAAUUUGGGAGUUAUUUUCUGCGCUUGUGUUUUGGGUUUUAUCCCUUUUAUGAAAAACUUCUGUUAUUCAAAAUUUCUUAAUUCAUUUUAUGUUAGAUGUUGGAAGUAUUUUGUAAAUAUCGGCUUGCUUAGUGCAACAAUAGGCGCCAUCACAACAGGUUAGGAUUUGGGUCGUGACAGUGAUGGUGUAUAGUAAAAAUACCCCUCGCUAAGCACAAUUAUAUGUGCCUGCACUCAUAUGGCCUAAGAUAACAUAGGUGAUCAUCUGACUCAAUAAG